This 85-nucleotide transfer RNA is filed under the name Bacteroidota bacterium. Its description in RNAcentral is "Bacteroidetes bacterium (hot springs metagenome) tRNA-Ser". It matches the Rfam family "tRNA". From Rfam's summary of the family: Transfer RNA (tRNA) molecules are approximately 80 nucleotides in length. Their secondary structure includes four short double-helical elements and three loops (D, anti-codon, and T loops). The record is from RNAcentral. Lineage: Bacteria; Pseudomonadati; Bacteroidota.
GGAGAGGUGCAGGAGUGGUUGAACUGGCACGCCUGGAAAGCGUGUAUACCGCAAGGUAUCGAGGGUUCGAAUCCCUCUCUCUCCG